GAUGAACGCUGGCGGCGUGCUUAACACAUGCAAGUCGAACGGGAAUUCUUUUAUUGUCACUUCGGUCGAUUUAAUUUAAUUCUAGUGGCGGACGGGUGAGUAACGCGUGGGUAACCUGCCUUAUACAGGGGGAUAACAGUCAGAAAUGGCUGCUAAUACCGCAUAAGCGCACAGAGCUGCAUGGCUCAGUGUGAAAAACUCCGGUGGUAUAAGAUGGACCCGCGUUGGAUUAGCUGGUUGGUGGGGUAACGGCCCACCAAGGCGACGAUCCAUAGCCGGGCUGAGAGGGUGAACGGCCACAUUGGGACUGAGACACGGCCCAGACUCCUACGGGAGGCAGCAGUGGGGAAUAGUGCACAAUGGGGGAAACCCUGAUGCUGCGACGCCGCGUGAAGGAAGAAGUAUCUCGGUAUGUAAACUUCUAUCAGCAGGGAAGAUAGUGACGGUACCUGACGAAGAAGCCCCGGCUAACUACGUG
This 478-nucleotide ribosomal RNA is filed under the name uncultured bacterium. RNAcentral's name for it is "partial 16S ribosomal RNA". It matches the Rfam family "Bacterial small subunit ribosomal RNA", at positions 28 to 507 of the family's 1533-position model. The record is from RNAcentral.